This is a non-coding RNA of Nelumbo nucifera (sacred lotus), 769 nucleotides long. The record is from RefSeq and is a predicted model, not a curated record. Lineage: Eukaryota; Viridiplantae; Streptophyta; Magnoliopsida; Proteales; Nelumbonaceae.
AUUAGAAAAGUUAGUUCAUCCAAAUAUUAUAAUAGAUUUACAGGACAGUGUCCAAAUGACAAUCAUCAUCAUCAUCAUAAUCAGGAUGCAUGACAAUGUCAACAGAUAAUCAAGAUUAUCAUGCAUUAUUGUUCCCUUUAAUAUUGACCAAUUCAUAUUUUGAUUUUAUUAGUCUCAAGGGAUAUCCAAUGAGGCAAUGAAGGAUUCUAGCAUGAAAAAAUAAAUCUGGGUGGUCAGACCAGCUGACCCAAAUCUGGCACCACAGCCAGAAGAGAUUAGCAAGAUUCUUCAAAAUUAAAGGGUCUAAUAUGUUUGUACAUGGUACUUGGCAUGAUGUUUCUUGCAGCAUUUCAAUGGAGCUUCAAGCUUAAGUCAGCAGAAAAGCAAGCACUUAGUGCAGAUUCACCAUAAAGGAUGCAACAUUGAUCAGCAGUGGACACUCUUCUAGCGCAAGGCAGCUAAUGGCUCAAGAUUGGUCCUCCCUCCCAAGGAGUAGCUAAACUCAAUUUUGAUGACCGUUCUUUGGGGAACCAGGGCCAUCAAGAGUAGGGGGACUCUACAGGAUCGCAGAAAGUAGUAUCCUAUUGGCAUACUCAGGAACAAAGGGGACAUUAGACAUAAUUAGAGCAGAGAUAAAGUCUUUUCUCCAUCUGAGGUUCUUAUAUAUCAGGUAUAGCAGUUUCAUUCAGACUCGGCGAGCGACAUCUCUCUAGCCAAUACCAGUACUCUCAAGACUGCAUAUGGGAAUAGACCAACAGGAAAACCGAUA